Molecule: long non-coding RNA, 398 nt
Filed under: Zalophus californianus (California sea lion)
Lineage: Eukaryota; Metazoa; Chordata; Mammalia; Carnivora; Otariidae
Description: lncRNA (ENSZCAG00015020177.1)
Source: RNAcentral
UCUUGGGGACUGGCUUGGUUAUCAAACAUAUGGAGCACAAUAAUGACACAUAGGGACUAACUCCUGACUUGAGGAUGGAUGAGAAUGAAAGACAGAGAGAAAAUAAUCUUUGCUAGACAAAUGAAGAUUAACCAAUGACCUCUGGAAGGAAAUAUUUCUCUUUCAGAUUUCAUUUUCAACUUCCGAAGCAGAACUGAACCAAGACAAUAAAAAAUCCCACACAGCCAGAAAUUGUGUAAGAUUCAAAGCAAACAAAACGUGGAUCUACCUCUAGGGGUCAGGACUUAGCCUAAUUUGAUCAGAGGUCCUUUUGAGAUGCACGCUCAGCAAAGAUGUUAAAGAUGAUCCUACCCUGGCUGAAUCUGUUGUCUACUGAGACUGCAUCUGCCAGAUGUCUG